AAAAAAAAAACCGAAACAAAACCCAAUUCACAUCAAGUUCACUGCACAUCUGGUUUUCUGUAUAGAGGCAAAUCCGAUAUGAAAAGCAUCCCACUUGGUGUCCUCCACUGGCGUCAGCCCCCAACCCGCCCCCAACGAAAGGUUUAAAAACAUCUGUACAAUCAGGCCCAUGCUUUAGAAAGGCAGGUUAGCCAUGUUCCCCGGCCCGGGGAUGUAACUCAUUUGGCUGUCCAGGGAGACGCUCCUCUGCCUCAUCUGGUGCGUGACCAUUAGGUUCUGCUGCGGUGGGGGCCCCAUAAGAGAGCCCUGAGGUGACAUGAUGUGUCCUGUCUGGGCAUACAUCUCCCCCGACACAGACAUGCUCCUCUGCUUGGCCUGCAUCAGCAUGAAAUUCUGCUGGGCCAUUAGGCUCUGCUGCGGAGACAUCAUGCCCUGAUGCAUGCUGUUGCCCAUCAUGCCUUGCUGGGGCGGUAUGCCUGUCCUGCCCAGCAUGGGCACUUGUCCAGGAUGGCACAUGGGCAUGCCGAGUCCCCUCUGCACACCCUGCUGCCCCGGAAGGCUGGGGGCGUUCAUACCUGGCCUCACGGGGGGCUGAUCAGCCAUCAUGUUCUGCAGGUUCAUGAGGUGGAGGUUGGAAGGCUGUGAUUUGGGUGCUUGGCUGUCGCUCUUGGGGAAAUACUGCAAGGUGCUGCUUGGCUUCUCCGAUGGGAUGAUCCUGGAGAGGUCAAACUCGGGGAUGCCCGUGGGUGUGGGGCGGAUGACCUCACUGAGCUCAGGAUCGUUCAGUACCGACGCCACCCCCGGAAGCACAGCUGGGUAGGGCUCACCGAUCCGAGGAGGGAUGUUCUUGCCCAUCAUGUGCUGCUGAGGAGGCAUCUGGCCGGGCUGCUGGACCUCCACCCUGUGGAGCCUGCUGGGACCUACUGCUCGGAAAGCCCUGAGCUCCAAGGAAGGGGACGCAAGGAGGACUUGCAAAGCAUCAACAUCCAAAAGAAGCACUCCAAACUUCAGCUCCCCAAGCCCACAGACAGCACAGAACUAUUCCGGUUCUGCUCAGUGCAAUGCCGCACAGAGGAGUGACCCUUCAGCACAGCCUUCCAGCUCCUCCUGUGAUCACACGCUGCUCAGUGGCAAGGAGGAACAUGACAGAAGUGCCAGCAUCCCAACACAAGUGCUAUCCAGGAGGGACCAACGGGCUCAUCAGUACCACGGAGCAAACUGUUCACAAAGGCUCCGUUUGAGGGGCAGUGGGUGCAUUUGCAUGCUCGUGGCCAAACCAAAUGACUUCUUACCAGUCAAAGAGUCAACAAGUUGAUUUUUCGCUUUGAAAACCACCGACAAUACUUAUCAAAUAGCUUUAAACCCCAGCACCAAGUGGUGCAGCUUGCUGGAAUUCCCCUUCCCCUUCAUACUGUGCACAGAAUGACGAAAGGCAAUCAUUUGCCUAGCUGUCCUCACCAGUGCCACCAGCUAGCGAAGCGUAUCUGGUUGCUGCUUACUGAAAUCACAACUGUGCUAAGACACAGCCUUGCUCGUG
RNAcentral lists this long non-coding RNA (1537 nucleotides) under Gallus gallus (chicken). RNAcentral describes it as "long non-coding RNA NONGGAT005301". The record is from RNAcentral. Lineage: Eukaryota; Metazoa; Chordata; Aves; Galliformes; Phasianidae.